CAACGGGCCCCACUGCUAUUGUGCUGGUCCCAGGGAGUAACAAUUGCUGUCUGCCCUAUAUAAAAACCAUGGUGACUCCAUGUAGAAACUCCAGUCUUCUGAGACACUGAAUCGCAGAACUCUCCAUGAACCUGGAGCUUACUGAUUCAAUGCCUAGGUGACCCCCAAGCUCCAAGGAUCCUCCAGGCCCUGCCUUCCCAGCACUGGGAUGACAGGUGUAUGCCCUGUGGUGUGGAAUAAUAUUCUAACCAGGCGAAGGCCAGUGAACUCCAGGGACCCACGAUUGCUGGGACUUCAAGCAAAUGGCUGCCAUACUCAGUUUUUAUAUGGGUUCUGGGUUUCUCUGUGUAGCCCUAGCUGUCCUGGAACUCACUCUGUAGACCAGGAUGGCCUUCAACUCACAAAGAUCUGCCUGAUUCUGCUUCCUGAGUGCUGGGAUUAAAGGUGUGCAACAACACCACCAGGCAAAGGUUGUACUUUCAAAGGGAAGUGUUUGUAGCUCACACAACCAACCAGGAGAAGGAUGCAGUGAAGUUGGAGUCUCAAGCCUGGAACCAAGAACCUAAAGUCUUUCCCAUCCUGCUCUGAUGGUGAAGAGAGGAGAGGCAGUGCCAGAGGAAGAAGAAGAGGAGGAGAGAAGAGAGAUGUAUAUUUAAGUGACCAGAAUCAAACCCCAGCCACCUCAGAGGAGGCUGCCUCUCUCAGAAGAGGCUCUGCUGCAGAGGAGGGUGAAAUAAGGGACACGGUGAUGGUGCUCCUGUCUUUUGACCAACUAUGUCAGCAAAGUGGGGUAGUCUGUCAGAGAUGACUCAGAUUGGCCCCAUUCUGUUCCUUGGGAGCUAACCUCUGCACCCAUGCCUACAGUCAGAGCUGGGGCUCUGUGAUUGGCCAGUCUCAGUUCACAUGUUAAUCUUGCAUCUAGAGAGCAAGGUCUGUCACUGGAGAAGAUACUGGAGCAGGAAGGAAGAGGUGCCCGGGCGCUUGCCAGCUCGGAACUGGGCAGCCAUCCCAAAUGUGUAUGCAACUGUUGCCUUGGCUGAGUUUAUGAGCCGAAGGUCGUGGUCGCCCUAUUUUUGGAACAGCAGGAAAAAGCAACUGCUUCUAACUUGCAAAAUGGUAACUUUCCACAAAAACAGCAGAGGCAGAUCUGUGGGAAGGCCCCAACCUCCUGCACCUGAACCUUGGAGAGGCUACUACCUCAGGUGGUCGCCAUACUUUUAAGGUCAAAGCAGUCCCAGAGGCAAAAGUCUUCCUGUCAUUUUCUCCUGCUCUUACAAGAAACAGGGUCAGGACAGAAAAUAAACUAAAUGGAAACAAUAAAGCUUGUGCCCAUGGGUCCAGGACCACA
Non-coding RNA from Cricetulus griseus (Chinese hamster), 1348 nucleotides. The record is from RefSeq and is a predicted model, not a curated record. Lineage: Eukaryota; Metazoa; Chordata; Mammalia; Rodentia; Cricetidae.